UUUCUGUUCUUAUCAAUUACAGAGGGAUAUGUUCUAUUUGUAGGCGGAGCCUUCCAACAUGUGGGCUCCACCUUCUUAUAAUUUACAACACUCCCCCUUGGAGACCACAAAUAGUAUGGAAUAUGUCUCGUUAAAAACCUUGCCAGUAAAAACCCAGUGGGACAAAAACUGGUCGAAGGGAAAAAGAGUACAUAACCAUGCGUAACAUAAAAUUCUGUGUAUAUUGACAUGCGUGCAACACUGCCUCGUUAAAACCUUGCCAGGAAAAAACCCAGUGGGAUAAAAACCUGGACGAAGGAAAAAGAGUACAGUGUGGAAAGGUCUGUAUUGAUGGCACGCUCCCCCUGAUGCUUGGCAGAAUAUCUUGAAGCCAUACUGUUGAUCAUCUGUCUGAAUAUCAUAGUUGACACUGCUUCUGUGAGUCAAUCUU
This 430-nucleotide long non-coding RNA is filed under the name Prunus dulcis (almond). Its description in RNAcentral is "sRNA ncRNA". Lineage: Eukaryota; Viridiplantae; Streptophyta; Magnoliopsida; Rosales; Rosaceae. The record is from RNAcentral.